CAUGCAAGUCGAGCGCCCCGCAAGGGGAGCGGCAGACGGGUGAGUAACGCGUGGGAAUCUACCCAUCUCUACGGAACAACUCCGGGAAACUGGAGCUAAUACCGUAUACGUCCUUCGGGAGAAAGAUUUAUCGGAGAUGGAUGAGCCCGCGUUGGAUUAGCUAGUUGGUGGGGUAAUGGCCUACCAAGGCGACGAUCCAUAGCUGGUCUGAGAGGAUGAUCAGCCACACUGGGACUGAGACACGGCCCAGACUCCUACGGGAGGCAGCAGUGGGGAAUAUUGGACAAUGGGCGAAAGCCUGAUCCAGCCAUGCCGCGUGAGUGAUGAAGGCCUUAGGGUUGUAAAGCUCUUUCAGUGGGGACGAUAAUGACGGUACCCACAGAAGAAGCCCCGGCUAACUUCGUGCCAGCAGCCGCGGUAAUACGAAGGGGGCUAGCGUUGUUCGGAAUUACUGGGCGUAAAGCGCAUGCAGGCGGAUCGCUAAGUCAGGGGUGAAAGCCCGAGGCUCAACCUCGGAACUGCCUUUGAUACUGGCGAUCUUGAGUCCGGGAGAGGUGAGUGGAACUCCGAGUGUAGAGGUGAAAUUCGUAGAUAUUCGGAAGAACACCAGUGGCGAAAGCGGCUCACUGGCCCGGUACUGACGCUGA
Molecule: ribosomal RNA, 647 nt
Filed under: uncultured bacterium
Lineage: Bacteria
Description: bacterial SSU rRNA
Rfam family: Bacterial small subunit ribosomal RNA
Source: RNAcentral